This 253-nucleotide ribosomal RNA is filed under the name uncultured bacterium. RNAcentral's name for it is "partial 16S ribosomal RNA". It matches the Rfam family "Bacterial small subunit ribosomal RNA", at positions 524 to 776 of the family's 1533-position model. The record is from RNAcentral.
UACAGAGGAUGCAAGCGUUAUCCGGAAUGAUUGGGCGUAAAGCGUCUGUAGGUGGCUUUUUAAGUCCGCCGUCAAAUCCCAGGGCUCAACUCUGGACAGGCGGUGGAAACUACCAAGCUGGAGUACGGUAGGGGCAGAGGGAAUUUCCGGUGGAGCGGUGAAAUGCGUAGAGAUCGGAAAGAACAUCGGUGGCGAAGGCGCUCUGCUGGACCAUAACUGACACUCAGGGACGAAAGCUAGGGGAGCGAAUGGG